AGAUACGCGGUACUUUCUGGUCAAUCCAGUGAGGUGUGGGAGCCAUGUUGUGCUGUGUAACAAGGAGUUUUAUUUGUUGUGAUGAUGAAGAUUGUUGCUGGGAUGACUGGGAGGACAUGGGGCGUGUGUGUGGGGAGGGAUAGAGAGAGAGCGAGAAAGAGUAAAAAAAACAGAAUGUACGACAAGGUUUUAAAUCUCCAGAAACGAGAGGACGUCUACAACGCGGAGAGAGGGAAAGAGGGAGAGAGAGAAUAAGAAUUCUGCUUUGUACAACUCACGAGUGACUCAAGGUGACCUGACAAGUUCCCCAAGAACAUAGCACCGAAGACGGAUGAGAGAGACAGAGAGAGAUCAGCACACAUGAAUCUUAAGACAUAUAUAAUAUUUGGAUCGACACCUAAGUUGAUCGAAUGGGCCCAAUCUCUGUGAUGAUGCACCCGUGAUAUCAAGACAUCUCUGGUAAAAAAAAACAAGCGCCAUCUUGUCAACGGAAGGCAUCACCAAACUCCCAGGAUCAAUCUUCUGUUGAAAUGGUCGCCUCACCUGGGCCGGUAAAGGAAGCUUUUGAUGAGAGAGCCUCGGGGAUAAGAAAUGUGAACAUAUUCUGCAGGCCAAGGUGAAUUAAGA
This is a long non-coding RNA of Callorhinchus milii (elephant shark), 627 nucleotides long. RefSeq lists it as uncharacterized. Lineage: Eukaryota; Metazoa; Chordata; Chondrichthyes; Chimaeriformes; Callorhinchidae. The record is from RefSeq and is a predicted model, not a curated record. The transcript has 4 exons.